CAGUCGCCGCGGUAAGACAGAGGAUGCAAGCGUUAAUCGGAAUUACUGGGCGUAAAGCGCGCGUAGGUGGUUUGUUAAGUUGGAUGUGAAAGCCCCGGGCUCAACCUGGGAACUGCAUCCAAAACUGGCAAGCUAGAGUACGGUAGAGGGUGGUGGAAUUUCCUGUGUAGCGGUGAAAUGCGUAGAUAUAGGAAGGAACACCAGUGGCGAAGGCGACCACCUGGACUGAUACUGACACUGAGGUGCGAAAGCGUGGGGAGCAAACAGGAUUAGAUACCCCUGUAGUCCCUGUCUCUUAUAC
Molecule: ribosomal RNA, 301 nt
Filed under: uncultured bacterium
Lineage: Bacteria
Description: partial 16S ribosomal RNA
Rfam family: Bacterial small subunit ribosomal RNA
Source: RNAcentral